AUACGGAGGGUGCGAGCGUUAAUCGGAAUUACUGGGCGUAAAGCGUACGUAGGCGGUUUGCUAAGUCAGAUGUGAAAGCCCCGGGCCUAACCUGGGAACUGCAUUUGAUACUGGCAGACUAGAGUAUGAUAGAGGGGGGUAGAAUUCCUGGUGUAGCGGUGAAAUGCGUAGAUAUCAGGAGGAAUACCAGUGGCGAAGGCGGCCCCCUGGAUCAAUACUGACGCUGAGGUACGAAAGCGUGGGGAGCGAACAGGAUUAGAAACCCUAGUAGUCC
RNAcentral lists this ribosomal RNA (274 nucleotides) under uncultured bacterium. RNAcentral describes it as "partial 16S ribosomal RNA". It matches the Rfam family "Bacterial small subunit ribosomal RNA", at positions 523 to 796 of the family's 1533-position model. The record is from RNAcentral.